Molecule: ribosomal RNA, 690 nt
Filed under: Emiliania huxleyi
Lineage: Eukaryota; Haptophyta; Isochrysidales; Noelaerhabdaceae
Description: SSU rRNA
Rfam family: Eukaryotic small subunit ribosomal RNA
Source: RNAcentral
AGUCGGAUUUCGGGGCGGGCCGACCGGUCUGCCGAUGGGUAUGCACUGGCCGGCGCGUCCUUCCACCCGGAGACCGCGCCUACUCUUAACUGAGCGGGCGCGGGAGACGGGUCUUUUACUUUGAAAAAAUCAGAGUGUUUCAAGCAGGCAGUCGCUCUUGCAUGGAUUAGCAUGGGAUAAUGAAAUAGGACUCUGGUGCUAUUUUGUUGGUUUCGAACACCGGAGUAAUGAUUAACAGGGACAGUCAGGGGCACUCGUAUUCCGCCGAGAGAGGUGAAAUUCUCAGACCAGCGGAAGACGAACCACUGCGAAAGCAUUUGCCAGGGAUGUUUUCACUGAUCAAGAACGAAAGUUAGGGGAUCGAAGACGAUCAGAUACCGUCGUAGUCUUAACCAUAAACCAUGCCGACUAGGGAUUGGAGGAUGUUCCAUUUGUGACUCCUUCAGCACCUUUCGGGAAACUAAAGUCUUUGGGUUCCGGGGGGAGUAUGGUCGCAAGGCUGAAACUUAAAGGAAUUGACGGAAGGGCACCACCAGGAGUGGAGCCUGCGGCUUAAUUUGACUCAACACGGGGAAACUUACCAGGUCCAGACAUUGUGAGGAUUGACAGAUUGAGAGCUCUUUCUUGAUUCGAUGGGUGGUGGUGCAUGGCCGUUCUUAGUUGGUGGAGUGAUUUGUCUGGUUAAUUCCG